Molecule: ribosomal RNA, 402 nt
Filed under: bacterium
Lineage: Bacteria
Description: partial 16S ribosomal RNA
Rfam family: Bacterial small subunit ribosomal RNA
Source: RNAcentral
UGGGGAAUUUUGCACAAUGGGGGAAACCCUGAUGCAGCGACGCCGCGUGAUUUAGAAGGCCUUCGGGUUGUAAAAAUCUUUUCUAUGGGAAGAAAAUGACAGUACCAUAGGAAUAAGGACCGGCUAAUUACGUGCCAGCAGCCGCGGUAAUACGUAAGGUCCGAGCGUUGUCCGGAAUCAUUGGGCGUAAAGGGUGCGUAGGCGGGUAAGCAAGUUAGAAGUGAAAUCCUAUAGCUCAACUAUAGUAAGCUUUUAAAACUGCUCAUCUUGAGGUAUGGAAGGGAAAGUGGAAUUCCUAGUGUAGCGGUGAAAUGCGCAGAUAUUAGGAGGAAUACCGGUGGCGAAGGCGACUUUCUGGCCAUAACCUGACGCUGAGGUACGAAAGCGUGGGUAGCAAACAGG